GUGGUUGGAGGCGUUCCUAGUGGACCAUCUUCGGACGGAAACCUGGGUUCGUUGAAGACUGUCGAGGUUGGCUGUUGAGGCGGUAGGCUAACGCGUGCGGUUGGUCUGAGUAGUGGUGCGGAUUGGUAGCACAUGUGUUGCCGGUUUGUGCUGUUGCUUGGGCCGGUUGUGUGCUCUGCUGCUCGCUCGGUGUCUGGUUGGUCACCCAUCCGACCCGUCUUGAAACACGGACCAAGGAGUUUAAGGUGUACGCGAGUCAAUGGGCCUGGAAAACCCAAAGGCGAAAUGAAAGUGAAAUGCAUAGUGUUUGUGGUGCGAUCGGUUAGUGUUUCGAUGCUGGCCGAGCAGCACCGCUCCGUUCCUGGUACUUGUACUGGUGCGGAAGCUGAGCGUACGCUUUGAGACCCGAAAGAUGGUGAACUAUGCCUGAACAGGAUGAAGCCAGAGGAAACUCUGGUGGAAGUCCGAAGCGGUUCUGACGUGCAAAUCGAUCGUCUGAUCUA
This 503-nucleotide ribosomal RNA is filed under the name Basilaphelenchus brevicaudatus. Its description in RNAcentral is "partial large subunit ribosomal RNA". It matches the Rfam family "Eukaryotic large subunit ribosomal RNA", at positions 438 to 913 of the family's 3401-position model. Lineage: Eukaryota; Metazoa; Nematoda; Chromadorea; Rhabditida; Aphelenchoididae. The record is from RNAcentral.